Poecilia latipinna (sailfin molly) is the source of this 4285-nucleotide RNA transcript. It is a transcript of the gene named TELO2 interacting protein 1, with no coding region annotated. The transcript has 11 exons. NCBI's taxonomy places the organism in Eukaryota, Metazoa, Chordata, Actinopteri, Cyprinodontiformes, Poeciliidae. The record is from RefSeq and is a predicted model, not a curated record.
GUCACUGACGCAGAAUUACGACGGAAACUUCAUCGAGUACAGCGGUAACUUCGUCCGGUCGAGAUGUUUAUUGAUAUAUUUUUUUAAAUAAAGUAGUUUAGUUUUCUCAGUGACGUCUCAACGGGAAGGCCUUACUGUUGCUGGAAUGAAGAAGUGGCCCUUGCUGUGAUGCCUCCAGCCAUGUCUCAGAUUAAUGAUCCGAAGAUUGCCUUCGCUUAUCUGCGCCCAGCCUGCGUCCUGCUCACCAAGGAGCCCACUGUGACCAACGUGGAGUCACUGAGCGAGCAGUUGAAAGACAUCCACGAUGCCUCGCUGCAGCAGCUCCAAGAGUAUGUUCUCUUCCCCUUGCGCUUUGUCCUCAGAAUCCCGGGGCAGAAGAAGGAAAAGCUGGUGCAGUCUGUGGCUGAGGCAGUGACCUAUGUUCUGGAGAGGACUUGUGUCCGGAGCUGGGACACGCUGCGUGACGUCUUCUCUGAGCUCUGCGUCUGCCUCUGCUCCCCCACAAACCCAGGCCAACCUGCAGGUACAUCAGAGGAGCUGAAAUCCGCCGUGCUGCGGUGCCUGGAUGCUCUGCUCCACGCCGCUUAUGGCGACAUACUGUUCAGACUGUACGAACCCUCGAUGCUGCCUGGACUGGGUGCUGCUGUGUCGCUGCUAUUGGCUUUAGGAGAGAAGGACAAAUCCAGAGAGAUUCAGACGGCGGCCUUGAAGUGCCUCCAGUCUUUGAUUCUGCAUUGCGACUGCAACCAGCAGCAUGUUGCUCCAUCAUGGGAUGAGCGAUGUUCUGUAGGCAGGACCAUGGCUUCUUUCUUACCUGGGAUCACUUCGGCUGCAGCGAGGAUCAUCACUGGAGAUCUGAGGCAAGGCCAUGCGGUUACUGUCAGGGCCAUCCAGGUGUGGUCCGGUUGUGUGGUUCUGGUCAUGGAGGACGCCCAGCUGCAGCACAGUGAGUCCUGCAGCACCAUGUCCUCGGAGCUGGGGAGGAUCGGCCAGCUGGUGGUGCAGCGGACGGCGGACUGGGUGAAGGUGACGGCAGGGAAGCUGUGUGUGCUGCUGAGAAGGAUCAUCUCCUGCUGCUCCACCCACCAGCACUGGAGGGUGAGGCUGGAGACGGUGGAGCUGGGCGACCGUCUGCUGGCAGCGUGCGGUCAGUCGCUGAAAGAGUGCCUGGGUCCACUGCUGGAAGCUCUGGUGGGAGUGAUCAACGACAAAGACCCCAGAGUCAGACAGAGGUGUGAGGUUGCUCUGAGAGACGCAUCCCAGAGGAGUCAAAGCGCCACUAGCAGUAAGAACCUGACUGACGUCCUGUCUGAGAACCUCCACUCGUUAGCCACCUCCCUCCCCCGGCUGAUGAGGACUGCUGAUGACCAGAAGAAGCUGUUUGUCCUCAAUGUGUUCCUUGGUUACCUGAAAGUCCUGGGACCACUUCUCUCUGUGGUGCUAAACUCUGCUGCACAUCUGGACAGGAUCUCUAAAGCGUUAAUGCAGGUGCUGGAGCUGGAUGUGAUGGAUGUUGGUAUUGUGGAGGAGCGGAGCUCCACUGAUCCCAUAGAGAGCAGCUCCGGCUCACACCACUCCUACAGCGCUCACACUCAGAGGAAGCACUUCCUGUUCUUCACCGACGACAAGAUCUACUGUGUGCUCAUGGAAAUCUGCCAAACAUUAGGUUACUACGGCAACAUCUACCUUCUCACCGACCACCUGUUGGACUUGUAUCGUCAGUCCUGUGCAUACAGGAAGCAGGCCGCCAUGGUCCUAAACGAGCUGGUGGGCGGUGCCGCCGGCGUCUCGGUGGCAGCGCCAGCCAGAUGUUUGGACGGUGGGGACUGCCCGGCUCCCUCUGCCUCCAAGGAAGACCUGAAAGCAGCGGUGGUGUCUAUCAUGGAGGAAUACAUCAGCCUGAGCAACUGGCACCUGAAGACUGUGAGCGAGGAGUCGGACCCAGACCGUCAGGAUCAGCAGCUGCUGAGUCCUUUCAGUCUCCAGUCCAUCUCCUGCAGUGACAUCAUCAGGAACACUUCAAAUCCUCUCCAUCAAGCAGUUCCUUCUUCAUCCGCCUGCCCUUUGACCUCACCGCCUACAUCCACCAUCCACCAGCUGAAGGGCAACAUCUGGCAGCUGUGCGUCCAGCUGGAGGGCGUGGCCCGCUUCGCCCAGGCGCUGCGGCGUGACUUCCGCCCGCUGUUGAUGACGGCGCUCUACCCGCUUCUGGAGAAGGCCAGCGACGAGUCGCUGCUGGUUAGCCAGGCGGCGCUGGGUGCCAUGACAACGGUGGGCGCGGCCUGUGGUUACGCCUCCCUGAAGGAGAUGAUCAGAGACAACUCGGACUACCUGCUCAACGACGUCUCAGUGAACCUGCAGAGGCUUGGUCAACACCCACAGGCUCCGCGGGUGUUAACGGUGAUGCUGGCUCACUCUGACUGCAGCCUGUUGCCUCUGGUCGGUGACAUCAUACAGGAUGUGCUGAUGGCUCUGGAUCUCAGCUAUGACCAGUCAGCUGCUCUGUUUGGCUCUGUGCUGCACGCGCUCAUGAAGGCACUGGCCAGCUGGUUCCCUCCGUCAUGCUGUAGGACCAGUAAGCCUCCCAGUUCUAGGAUUUCUGCUGAACUGGAAGAUUUUGACAUCUGCCAGUUCCUGCUGGAUUACCAAAAGCAGAAGGAGUUGGCAGAGGGCAUUGGGAUUGAAGCAGAUGAGAUGGAGGACCUUGAGGUGCUGCCUCCUGCAGAGUGUAAGGAAGCUGAUGAUGGACCCGAUGUGAAGGCACAACUCCCACCACACCUCAGUAUCGCUAAAGAUGUCAUGGAGCGCUGCAUCCACCUGCUGUCUGACCCCAGCCUCAGACUCCGGCUCAAGGUGACAGGCUAGCUGUAGAAGAAAAGUCCAAUCCUCCAGAGCAUAUAUCAGUUUCCUUCGACUUAACAUUUAAUUAGGAAAAAGUAGGUCUCAAAUGAAGGUAGAGAUCACUCUCUGUACUAUGGUGAGUAGACCAACAGGACAUGUCCAGAUGGCGGUAUUAAUCCAUGUGAUCAGUAUUACAGCUAAAUCUAGGGCUGGACGAUAUGGCUGACAAAUGUAUCACAAUGGAAACUUUUCAUAUUGGUCAAUAUAGAUAAUUAUUUACUAGUUUUAAAUAUCUGAAGUACUGGUGACGUGACCUUUCCUGUUUUAUCCACAGUUUAUACAGUUUUUUAUUUUUAAGCAGUUAUGAGGCUGAGUGGCGAAACAUGAAACUACUCAGCAGGAUGUUGCUAGGCAACCAAAGUAUAAGUGAGUUAGCUGAUGCUACCAACCUAGUGUAUCUAGCUGUGAGAGGCCUUUUCUCUGCCUACAUCCCCCAGAAUGCCAUGCGGUUCUGGAUCUGAGGUCAGUGAAAUUAUUGAACACUCCUCAUUUUGAAAAUGUUUUUUAAGAGUUCUAAAUUUAUGUAUCUAAAAUGAAUACCUUAAAAUUUCUUAAAUUUACAAAAAGCAUAAGUUGGCCUUAAAUAUGUUAAUUUUGUCACUAGCAGCCCUAUUCAAUUUUUGUAUAUGUAGUUUGCUCACUUUUCUGUCAGGCAACGGUUUGAUUACUUACAUCAUCAAUGAUGCAGCAGAGACUGUUGGUAAAGUAGCUGCUAGCUUGCUAGCUUUUUUGCGUCCGUCAUUGUUAAGUGAAGAGUUAUCACCAGUUGGAUGGACGAUGUUCAUUUUCGCCACUGUCUCACUUCUGUUGCAAACCCAUACGAGGCUAGGCGCAUUCUGCUACAUAAGCAAUGUUUGGUGAGGCAGAAGAGAGCCACAUGCAGGAUGAGAAGCACAAAAACUGCUCCCAAGAGCCACCAACAUACCCCAGACAUUUCACAGUUUUUGCAAUGCUUGAUUGUAAUACAGCAGAAUCCUUCCAAUCAUUCUUUAUAUUUGUAGUUUUCCAGUCUUAAAUUUUAUCAAAUUUAUUUUAUUACAUUUUUAAAAGGUCUUAGUCUUAAAUUUGACUUCCUGAAAUCUGCAGAUACGUGUUAUUGCCCAACUCUAGCUGAAACUCAGCAGACUUUGAUGAACACUCUCCUACCUUAUAGGACGAAAUCAAAAUAAGAUGUCAGAUAAGGUCAAAAUACCACUUCUUGGUCUCUUAAAUCUAGUAUUCAGGGAUAAACCAUACCUGUGCGUGGUCAUAAUAUUUCUGACUGUUGUUUACUCUGUCCUCCUUCAAAAGGUUCUGGAUGUGCUGGAGCUGUGUGUGUACGUGCUGAGUGAGAGGGAAGACGAGUUGCUGCCCAUGGCUCAUCGCUGCUGGCCGGCUCUGCUUC